This 253-nucleotide ribosomal RNA is filed under the name uncultured bacterium. RNAcentral describes it as "partial 16S ribosomal RNA". It matches the Rfam family "Bacterial small subunit ribosomal RNA", at positions 524 to 776 of the family's 1533-position model. The record is from RNAcentral.
UACAGAGGGUGCGAGCGUUGUUCGGAAUUAUUGGGCGUAAAGGGCGCGUAGGCGGUGCGGUAAGUCACCUGUGAAAUCUCCUGGCUCAACUGGGAGCUUGCAGGCGAAACUGCCGUGCUGGAGUGUGGGAGAGGUGCGUGGAAUUCCUGGUGUAGCGGUGAAAUGCGUAGAUAUCAGGAGGAACACCUGUGGCGAAAGCGGCGCACUGGACCACAACUGACGCUGAGGCGCAAAAGCUAGGGGAGCAAACAGG